RNAcentral lists this long non-coding RNA (325 nucleotides) under Fukomys damarensis (Damara mole-rat). RNAcentral's name for it is "lncRNA (ENSFDAG00000029693.1)". The record is from RNAcentral. Lineage: Eukaryota; Metazoa; Chordata; Mammalia; Rodentia; Bathyergidae.
CUGGACUUAGACCAGGCCAGCUUGGAGAAGUCAAUGGAACUUUAUUGUCUGUGAUAUACCAACUGACAGAAGAGGAAUGGACAAUCUUCCUUUUAAAAUCGCAGCCCGUGGAUUUGGACAAGGAGGUCCUUCUGAAAAGGGAGUUUGAAGGCAACAAACUCUGCCCUGGAAACCUGUGGAAAGUAUAAGAGGAAGGAGACUCUCAGGACCCAUGGACCACACACCCCACUGCCAUCAUUAACAGUUAGAUCCUUGAGAUCAAUGGAAGCUCAGCUUCUUUAGGUAUAAGUUUGGGCACAUUACAUUCUAGGAGAUGGACACCCAG